AUGUAAUGGUGAAUUUGGAAUAUAUAUCCUGUUUCAUUUCGUAUAUCUAUAUGAAAUAGGGCGUGUGUUAUAUUGACACCAAUAUUAUCUUAUUUAUUCAUAACUUAUUGAUAUAAAAUUGAAUUUAAGUUUUCUUUGGUAUAAAGUGAUGCUGAGCAGGAACACUAAAUGGCAAGAUCAUAUAUUUACCGGUCAGCUAUAAUAUAUACAAGUAUCAUAACAGUGGUUGCAAAUGUAUCUUUGAUAUUUAGACCAGAGGUUAUACGUUUAGGAGAGACGCUAUCUUUAAUUUGUACUGUUGCCGGUGUAGAUACUAUAAACAGAGGACUCAUCAGACAAUGGACAAAAGGCCCAGAACUUAUCUGCUAUAAUGGUCAUCCAAUAAACCCAAAUAAGUAUACAGAAUUAUUAAAAAAUGGGAAUCAAUUCGAACUUCAGAUAAACAACGUGACAGAGUCAGACCUACGGUGUAAAUACCAAUGUCGUUAUAGUUUUGACACACAAACAAAGGGUAUAGAAAUAUCAAAGCAUAAUUUUGAAUAUCUACCACCAAGCGACACAAGAGCUUUAAUGCAAACCAACGUAUCUGAUGGAAGUAUUACAAUACUUCUGCAUUUAAAAAAGGUUUAUCCAAUGCCAAACUGUACGGUAGCAAUAGAGGGUUUACGUAUACCCUUCGAUAUUGUGAAGCACCAUAGACAUGACAUUUAUUAUGAAGUGUAUAUGGUCUACCAGGCCGAUAAUUCAAUAAACUGCAAUGACAAUUUGGAAGUUACUUGCCAGUUAAUAGAUAAUCAUCCGAUACCAGUUAAUAAGGAGGCGAUGUGUCAAGUGAAAGAUACAGUUUUAGAAUGUUAGUGUUUUGUUGCCAUCAGUGAUUACGAGAAACAGUUAAAGGUCAACAUUUCAAAUUCCAUCGAUUAACAAUAUGAGUUAAUGACGUACACCAUUAUUUGGAUUUGUUUGUCGAUCUGUUUUAGUCUGGCAGUAGCAACAUUUCUACUAUUUUGUAAAUUGAGAAAUGUACAUGGAAAAAAAGAAGUUCACCUUUGAUAUGACCAACAUGAAUCAAAUAAUUGGAAGGAAGAAGAAAAUGCAAGAAAAGAAAGCAAGACAACGUUAACUGCACUGUCGAGGCAUUGAGCGAACUUCAAAAUAAAAUAAAAAAUAUUUCAAUCUAUAAUAUAAAGCAAACGCAUAAUUUAAAAAAAAAUGACAACAUUGAUAUUGCAUGAAAUACAAAAUCAAAUUCUUCAGGAAAAUAAUUUUAUUGGUUCUAUUUAUCAACU
This is an RNA transcript of Mytilus californianus (California mussel), 1289 nucleotides long. RefSeq lists it as uncharacterized. The transcript is spliced from 8 exons. The record is from RefSeq and is a predicted model, not a curated record. Lineage: Eukaryota; Metazoa; Mollusca; Bivalvia; Mytilida; Mytilidae.